RNAcentral lists this ribosomal RNA (301 nucleotides) under uncultured bacterium. Its description in RNAcentral is "partial 16S ribosomal RNA". It matches the Rfam family "Bacterial small subunit ribosomal RNA", at positions 509 to 807 of the family's 1533-position model. The record is from RNAcentral.
CAGUCGCCACGGGAAUACGUAGGUGGCAAGCGUUGUCCGGAAUUAUUGGGCGUAAAGGGCUCGCAGGCGGUUUCUUAAGUCUGAUGUGAAAGCCCCCGGCUCAACCGGGGAGGGUCAUUGGAAACUGGGAAACUUGAGUGCAGAAGAGGAGAGUGGAACUCCGCGUGUAGCGGUGAAAUGCGUAGAGAUGUGGAGGAACACCAGUGGCGAAGGCGACUCUCUGGUCUGUAACUGACGCUGAGGAGCGAAAGCGUGGGGAGCGAACAGGAUUAGAUACCCGAGUAGUCCCUGUCUCUUAUAC